RNAcentral lists this transfer RNA (72 nucleotides) under Eremothecium sinecaudum. Its description in RNAcentral is "tRNA-Thr". It matches the Rfam family "tRNA". From Rfam's summary of the family: Transfer RNA (tRNA) molecules are approximately 80 nucleotides in length. Their secondary structure includes four short double-helical elements and three loops (D, anti-codon, and T loops). The record is from RNAcentral. Lineage: Eukaryota; Fungi; Ascomycota; Saccharomycetes; Saccharomycetales; Saccharomycetaceae.
UCCUCUUUAGCUUAGUGGUAGAGCGUCGCACUUGUAAUGCGAAGGUCACUAGUUCAAUUCUGGUAAGGGGAA